UCUAACAACAGAGGUUAACAGGGGGCAUGUAUGUGAGUCUAACAACAGAGGUUAACAGGGGGCAUGUAUGUGAGUCUAACAACAGAGGUUAACAGGGGGCAUGUAUGUGAGUCUAACAACAGAGGUUAACAGAGGGCAUGUAUGUGAGUCUAACAACAGAGGUUAACAGGGGGCAUGUAUGUGAGUCUAGCAACAGAGGUUAACAGGGGGCAUGUAUGUGAGUCUAACAACAGAGGUUAACAGGGAGCAUGUAUGUGAGUCUAACAACAGAGGUUAACAGGGGGCAUGUAUGUGAGUCUAACAACAGAGGUUAACAGGGGGCAUGUAUGUGAGUCUAACAACAGAGGUGAACAGGGGGCAUGUAUGUGAGUCUAGCAACAGAGGUUAACAGGGGGCAUGUAUGUGAGUCUAACAACAGAGGUUAACAGGGGGCAUGUAUGUGAGUCUAACAACAGAGGUUAACAGGGGGCAUGUAUGUGAGUCUAGCAACAGAGGUUAACAGGGGGCAUGUAUGUGAGUCUAGCAACAGAGGUUAACAGGGGGCAUGUAUGUGAGUCUAACAACAGAGGUUAACAGGGGGCAUGUAUGUGAGUCUAGCAACAGAGGUUAACAGGGGGCAUGUAUGUGAGUCUAGCAACAGAGGUUAACAGGGGGCAUGUAUGUGAGUCUAGCAACAGAGGUUAACAGGGGGCAUGUACGUGAGUCUAACAACAGAGGUUAACAGGGGGCAUGUAUGUGAGUCUAGCAACAGAGGUGAACAGGGGGCAUGUAUGUGAGUCUAGCAACAGAGGUGAACAGGGGGCAUGUAUGUGAGUCUAACAACAGAGGUUAACAGGGGGCAUGUAUGUGAGUCUAACAACAGAGGUUAACAGGGGGCAUGUAUGUGAGUCUAACAACAGAGGUUAACAGGGGGCAUGUAUGUGAGUCUAACAACAGAGGUGAACAGGGGGCAUGUAUGUGAGUCUAACAACAGAGGUUAACAGGGGGCAUGUAUGUGAGUCUAACAACAGAGGUUAACAGGGGGCAUGUAUGUGAGUCUAACAACAGAGGUUAACAGGGGGCAUGUAUGUGAGUCUAACAACAGAGGUGAACAGGGGGCAUGUAUGUGAGUCUAACAACAGAGGUUAACAGGGGGCAUGUAUGUGAGUCUAACAACAGAGGUGAACAGGGAGCAUGCAAUAGGAGCAGGAACAUGUUGAAGAUGAGUCGAAAGCAACAUCACCUGGAGCAUGACAAUGUAAGUAGCGAUGCAGUUUAACACGGGC
This is a long non-coding RNA of Oncorhynchus keta (chum salmon), 1265 nucleotides long. RefSeq lists it as uncharacterized. The transcript is spliced from 3 exons. The record is from RefSeq and is a predicted model, not a curated record. Lineage: Eukaryota; Metazoa; Chordata; Actinopteri; Salmoniformes; Salmonidae.